AGCAGAGAAGCUGACGGCAGGAUACGCUGAAGUUUCGGUUUUACUGUCUCCCGUUGAGGAUGCCGUACGCUUAUUUUUAAUUUUUAGUAAUGUUUGUGUUUUUUGUUAUUAUUUUUAUUUUUAAUUUAAAUUGUCCUCCUACUAUAUUACGUUUAUGUAUUGUAGUAUUUUCUGGCUGUAGGCCAAACAAAAUGUUUAUAGCGUUUUAUUAUGUUUGUAUUAUACAUAAUGUAUUCCCUGUGUGUGAGACACGUAGCGAGGGUGUGUUUUGCUGGUGGGAGGUGUGGAGGGGGGCGCCUCCAG
RNAcentral lists this long non-coding RNA (303 nucleotides) under Androctonus crassicauda. Lineage: Eukaryota; Metazoa; Arthropoda; Arachnida; Scorpiones; Buthidae. The record is from RNAcentral.